AAAAUGUAGUUAGAAAAAUGACUCCUUAUAAGAAACCAAGAUUAAUUACAUCACUUGUGUAUUUGAGUUCACUUGGAUAGUAAAUAAGGCCAACUGACCAGUAUAAAAAGACAAGUUGGCAACCACGACAAUUGCUCCUAUGGGCCACACAUGACUAGAAACAAGUAGGAAAUAGCACUACAGGCAUUGAAUAAGUCCCUCUAAAGAGAUCCAUGCAUAUGAUUUUCCUCCGUAGUGCUCUCUCACAAGCCUAGCGUACCAUAUUACCGAAAUUAUGACAUUUUCAAUCUAUAUUGAAUCAAAACUUUCUUUAGCAAACUGAAAUCACUUACAUUUGUAACAGUGACCAUUCAAGUUUAUUUGAACCUC
RNAcentral lists this long non-coding RNA (369 nucleotides) under Prunus persica (peach). Its description in RNAcentral is "long non-coding RNA (PPER_LNC006795)". Lineage: Eukaryota; Viridiplantae; Streptophyta; Magnoliopsida; Rosales; Rosaceae. The record is from RNAcentral.